UUCCCUUAACUUGCUGCAUUCUAGUUAACCUAUCAUUUACAUAAAUGGUAUAUUACUAAUUGAAGAAUCUGGCCUUUGUGACAUCAUUGUCUUCUUGAAAACAUUUUACUGGACAUCUGUGUACAGCUGGUAUAAAUAUAUAAAGUCUGUAGAGGCACUGAGAUACAAAUUUCAGUACACAGGACUUACUGGUUACUGGCUCAGUUCCUCUGUCUGAAGCAGCAAUUUUAUCAUAAAAAUAAUAACACUUAAGUGUUAAAAAAUUGGGAAUUUAGUUGGAACCCCAAUCACUGAGUCAGCAAUUAAGAAAAAAAAAUCAUAUAGAACAAAACUCAACACCAAUUCUCCUGCAGUUUUUAAGCUGAAUACUGUUCCAUCAAGUUGUAAUCACAUACCAGCUGUUUCCCUUGCUGUAGUACAGAAAGCAAAUGUACAAUGCAGGGUGCCAUCUACUGAAACAUGAAUGCACAGACUAACUAGUAAAGAACAAGCAAGUAUAAAAGAGAAAAAAGUAACAAAUAUUAGAAUGGAUGGACUUUACAGCUCCACAGGAAUUCUACUUGCAAUAAAUGGAACUGUUAAAUUUGUUUCAUUUAGUAGCAACUAUAACCGAAGACUAUGCUAUAAAAUAAAGACAAUGUAGAAUAUAA
This is a non-coding RNA of Oryctolagus cuniculus (rabbit), 650 nucleotides long. Lineage: Eukaryota; Metazoa; Chordata; Mammalia; Lagomorpha; Leporidae. The record is from RefSeq and is a predicted model, not a curated record.